RNAcentral lists this ribosomal RNA (467 nucleotides) under uncultured bacterium. RNAcentral's name for it is "partial 16S ribosomal RNA". It matches the Rfam family "Bacterial small subunit ribosomal RNA", at positions 29 to 507 of the family's 1533-position model. The record is from RNAcentral.
ACGAACGCUGGCGGCUUGCUUAACACAUUCAAGUCGGACGGAAAGGCCCGUCUUUUGUGGGGUGCUCGAGUGGCGAACGGGGGAGUAACACGUGAUUAACCUGCCUUUAACUUUUGGAUAACUUCAAGAAACUGGGACUAAUACCGGUAAGGAGCUCCUGCUGCGUGGUGGGGGUUGGAAAGUUUAGGCGGUUGGGGAUUGACUCGCGGGUUAUCAGCUUGGUGGUGGGGUAGUGGCUUACCAAGGCUUUGCGGGGUAGCCGGCCUGAGAACGUGAACAGCCACAUUGGGACUACGGUAGGGCGCAGACUGCUACGUUAGGCAGCAGUGGGGAACAUUGCACAACGGGAGGAAGCGUGAUGAAGAAACCCCGCGUGCGGAAUGACGUCCUUCGGGUUAUAAACAGCUGCAGCCUAUGACGACGCGUGAGUGACGGUAAUGAAUAAAGAAGCACCGGCUAACUACGUG